RNAcentral lists this ribosomal RNA (483 nucleotides) under uncultured bacterium. Its description in RNAcentral is "partial 16S ribosomal RNA". It matches the Rfam family "Bacterial small subunit ribosomal RNA", at positions 355 to 847 of the family's 1533-position model. The record is from RNAcentral.
UGGGGAAUAUUGCACAAUGGGCGCAAGCCUGAUGCAGCAACGCCGCGUGAGGGACGACGGCCUUCGGGUUGUAAACCUCUUUUAGUAGGGAAGAAGCGAAAGUGACGGUACCUGCAGAAAAAGCACCGGCUAACUACGUGCCAGCAGCCGCGGUAAUACGUAGGGUGCGAGCGUUGUCCGGAAUUAUUGGGCGUAAAGAGCUCGUAGGCGGUCUGUCGCGUCUGCUGUGAAAACCCGAGGCUCAACCUCGGGCCUGCAGUGGGUACGGGCAGACUAGAGUGCGGUAGGGGAGAAUGGAAUUCCUGGUGUAGCGGUGGAAUGCGCAGAUAUCAGGAGGAACACCGAUGGCGAAGGCAGUUCUCUGGGCCGUAACUGACGCUGAGGAGCGAAAGCGUGGGGAGCGAACAGGAUUAGAUACCCUGGUAGUCCACGCCGUAAACGUUGGGCGCUAGAUGUGGGGCACCAUUCCACGGUUUCCGUGUC